ACUGAUGGCCGUGAGCCUGAUGUGGGGCUCAAACUCAUGAACCAUGAGAUCAUGACCGGAGCCGAAGUGGGACACUCAACUGACUGAGCCACACAGCUGCCCCUGUUGUUAUAGUAUUUUAAAGCCAACCCCUGAUUUCUCAUCAUUUCACCUUUUUGCAUUUGUGAUUACGUCACCCUGUAAUUGCCAUGAUACAAUUUCAUUGCUGACAAUUUGGGUUGGCACUUUCCUUAGAUCUCUUAAUGCCAGCAGUGACAUAUUUUAUCAGUAACUGUCUAACAGAAUUAAUGAGAGUCUACAUUGAUGGAGUACCAUGUGCCAGGCAAAGGUCCAGGCAUUUUUACGUGUAUUAAAUUUUUUAAUCAGUUCUGUGAGGUGUGAGUUACUAUCAUCUCUGGUUUUAUAGAUGAGGAAUUGGAGGUAUAGAGAGUUAGUUUAUGGUAGAUUACUCAUGGGCAAUUAAUCACUUAUUUAAUAGGUAAUCCACAGUUUACAGGUUAUGAAUCUUCGUAAAUUGAAGCCAGGGAGCUUCUCACUCAUGAAUAUUUUAUACUUUUCUGCAUUUUGCUCUCCAGAUUUUAGGCUAAAUCUUAUUUUUGUGUCUUUAGUCAUUUUCUCAUACCACAGGAGGUAAGGCUGAGGACUGAGAAGUGUGUAUGUGAAGGAAAAAAAGAAAGGUAAAAGGUUUCUUAAUUUUGAGCUGUUAAUUGUAGACGUUUUCCUUGAUCUUCCAAGGUUUCCUGGCUGGGACUGAAAUGUAGACUGACAAAGAUUAACAGGAGAAAGCAUGCAAACUUGUUUAAUACAAGUUUUACAUGACAUGGGAUCUCUUAUGAGAAAAGAUCUGAACGAGUCAUUAAACUGGAGUGCUUUGAUGCUAGGUUUGCUGAAGAAUGACAUUGUGGAAAGAUAUGACAGGACAAAGAGUGUGAAGUAGUUGUAGUAAACUGGGGAAAUGUAGCAAGCCCUAUGUAUUAGAUCUCCUUCUAUGUCCCUUUCUCUUUAGAGAUAGGGAGGGCAUCUCACGUGAGGAACUUAUCACUUGCUUCAGGGAAGGUUAGGAAGUUCUUCCUGCACCUCCUGUUUUUAGAUGCCUUCAGUUUAGAAUGUUCCAAAUGCACAGGUGCCAUAUUUUUGGGGUAGUAUGUCUUGAUUACAUACCCUGUAUAAUCAUUUUAAAGAUGCGUAAUUGGGGCACCUGGCUGGCUUACUCAGUAAAGCACGUGACUCUUGAUCUUCGGGUUAUAGGUUGGAGUUCCACUUUGGGGGUAGAGAUUACUUACAAAUAAAAUCUUAAAAAAAACGCAUUGUUUUAGGUGUAUGAUUCUGAGUUACAUUCAAGUUUUACUAGUGAGUUGGAAAAUAGGAUUUUGUUUUCUAUUUAUAGCCUACCUGGGAUUUGAAAUACAAGCCUACAUAUAUUUUGUUCUCUGAUCAGUUUUAAGUGUUAUUUCUUCCUAAUUAGUUUUUCUAUUUAUAAUUUUCAGACAACAAUAGCUUCGGUGAGAUCUGCUGUCAGAACAGUCUUCAGAAGAUAGCCAAUCUUUCUAAUUACUGAAUUUUGAAUAGCUAUUUUCUUUCCCUUUCUAGGAAGUGUUAUCAGACAAUAAGAAUAAAGGUGGAUGUUGCCUAAAAAUAAGAGGAUUCCCUCCAGCCUGUCCCUUGGUGGUAAAUUCCAUCUCAAUACUGUAGAGAAUGGGGAGUGCCUCCUAUGUAUGGUGUUCUGAGCUGGUACUCAGUUAAUAAAAAGAAGGUUCCUUUCCAAGGUGAUGUGGUGCUAGAGAAACCUGGACCGACAUUUCAACUAAGCCUGGAAUUACCGAGCUAGGGAAAAGGACGUUUCAGGUAAAAGAAAUUGUUUUACCAAAGGAGGGAGAGUUCCACCAUUUUAGGUGGGAUUUUAUCCAGGUUGCCCCAGUUGAUUAGUGCAUCGGAAGAUUGAAAACACAGACUUCUAAGAAAAGUGUGCUUCUUUAAAAUUUACUUUAUUAUUUAAGUAAAAAAAAUGUUUCCUUAACUUUUGAUUAAAUCAUUGGAAAAUGAAAGGAUGCAAAGAUACUUGCUAGUUAAGGGAAAAUUGCUAAGCUCAAAUUUGCACUCUUAAUAAAGCGAGGUAAUCUGCUUGGUUAGGCAGAGUAACAUCUGAUUUGAAAUUGCAGCAAGGUUUGACAAUGUCGUUCUGUUGAAACUUUACUUUUGUAAGAGUUUCAGAUAUUUUUUGGCAAUGUUUAAAAAUCAGUUUAAAAAAUAUUUAGUGGGAAAGAAUAAAAUUAAGCACAAGUUAGUUUUCCUAAAUAUCUUGACACUCUAACUUGUACUUUUUUGGUUUGUUUUUAAUACUUCAGAAUUGAAUUGUGUAGCAACUUGAAAACUGCUUAUUUUUUUAAUGUUUGUGCUUCUUGGCUUUUGGUGCCCUCCAGUGGCAGGAAUGAACUGUUAAAUCCUUAAUUAAGUGUUUUGAAAAUGCUCAAUACUACUUGAUAGAGUUAAUUCUAUGCAUAUUCAACAUUUCAUUAGGAGAAAAUUAAACUUGCAACUAAUGGGAAGGAAGUACUAAUUUGGAUUAGUAUAAAGUGAUAACUCCUGGAAAUAUUGUUGGAACACAUGAUGAAUAUUCAAUGCAUUUAAGGCAAGAAAAAGAAUCUGCUGCAAUUCUCAAAAGGUAUUAAGGAACAUAGCUUGGAGCUGAAUCCCAUGGAAAUUUUAUCUAGGAAGAUAAGUGUAUCAAAUCAAGAGGAUAUGGAGGACAUACAAAGUGUAGUGAUAAUUUACAUAGUUUCUUACAUUUAUAGAUUUGUGAUAAUUAGGGAAUAUGGUCCCUAGGAGGGGUAAUCUGCUGCAUUCAAAAGAUAAGUAAAUGUGGUGGAAUUUUCCCUUGUCCCAGAAAUCAGAUUAUAGAAUUACAAAGUACCAGAUAAACUGGUCAGUUUCCCAACUUGAGUUGAAUCAUCCAGUUGAAACUUUACUUUUAAAGUAAAGUGGUUCUAGUUCAAGAUCAGUCUUUGAUCAGCAGUCACUAGUGGGAGGGAGGUUCCCACAAUAUUACAUUACAUUACAUUACAUUACAUUACAUUACAUUACAUUACAUUACAUUACAUUACAUUAUAUUAUAUUUAA
Molecule: long non-coding RNA, 3117 nt
Organism: Felis catus (domestic cat)
Lineage: Eukaryota; Metazoa; Chordata; Mammalia; Carnivora; Felidae
Exons: 3
Source: RefSeq, a predicted model, not a curated record